Molecule: long non-coding RNA, 3793 nt
Organism: Oncorhynchus gorbuscha (pink salmon)
Lineage: Eukaryota; Metazoa; Chordata; Actinopteri; Salmoniformes; Salmonidae
Exons: 2
Source: RefSeq, a predicted model, not a curated record
CUCUCUCACCUCCUCUCACUUCCUCCCCUCUCUCUCUCAGCUCCUCUCACUUCCUCCCCUCUCUCUCACCUCCUCUCACUUCCUCCCCUCUCUCUCUCACCUCCUCUCUUCUUCACCUCCUCUCGCUACAAACCCCCACAGCACAACAAAACAGAUCCAACAACCAAAUAAAUAUUUAAAAAAUGAUGAAAAUAUUGUUGUGACACCGUAACACUUAAGUUUGUAUGACUGUGCGUUUGUAUUAGAAUGGCCGUGGUUUAGGAACCUGCACAAAUAGGAGACGAUACAUGGCACUCAGAGGAUAGAAUGUGUCACAGCCAGGGGUGUUUUAUUCUGUGUAUUAAUAAAUAGCACAGAGCCCUUAUAUUUGCAUGUCUUUGAGUUGGAACAGGUAUUUUGGAGGGUACUUCAAUUUCCCAUUUUCUUCUUAAUCACUGUACUACUUUAAGAUUUGAUUUCUAGAGAACGCAUGGUCCUCUUAACACCUGAAGUGAUGGUCUCUGUUAAAGACAUUUGUUAGUGUCACCGAUAUCUUCAAACCGUGUCCAUCUCUGUCUGAAUUAGCACUUGUAAUGUGGUGUAGAGCACUGCUGAGUAGAGUUAAUCCCAGAUCAGUGUUGCUCACACACUCCUCUCCCAGUUUAACCAUAGGGGCGGUGGUCUAAAUCUGACCUCCAAGCAGUUCAUAGUGCUCAACUCUGACAUUCGAGAGGGUGGGCCAGUGCAUUCAGAUCCGUGUGAAACGGUGGUCACCGCACCAGUUACGUGGUUUCUUAUUAUGGUAUGUCAGCAGGCCUUAACUCUCCGUUCAGUCUAUAUCACUCACUGCCUCGCAUGGUGGGGCCAAAGUCAAUAUUGGACCACUUGUCUCAUUGGUUUCUGUGAGGGACUUGGCUAUUUUCUCUCUGCUUGGAAUGCUGAAACAGGAUAGUCACUGGAUGCUGUGUACUUCUCUACUCUCAAAGUAUAUCCAUAUAUAGUGUGAUAAUACAUUUUUGCGUUUACAUUAUGAGCGGAUGGCUUCUGAUUUAAAAAAUCUGUAACCAAUUUUUUUUUUUUUUUUUUUUACUACAUACCACAUGAUACAUACAGCCUUGGACACUAGUGAGUAUUUGGUGUAAAUACGUGCCUGAUGCAAGUCCUCCCCUACUGGAAGACGACUGGCCACAUCAUGGCAUGGAUUUAUUGAGGAAGUGAAAACUUUUGUAAGAAAACCCUUGGUUCCACCAUUAAAAAUGAAUUAUGCCUAAUAGAAUCUCUUGUCAUCAUUUAAUCCAAUUGCUAGGUCAGGCUGUAGGACAGGCUGUAGAAAAGUAAGGCAGUAGGACAGGCUGUAGAAAAGUAAGGCAGUAGGACAGUAGGACAGUAAGGCAGGCUGUAGGGCAGUAGGCCAGGCUGUAGGGAAGUAAGGCAGUAGGACAGGCUGUAGGACAGUAGGACAGUAAGGCAGGCUGUAGAGCAGUAGGAAAGUAAGGCAGUAGGACAGGCUGUAGGACAGUAAGGCAGGCUGUAGGACAGUAAGGCAGGCUGUAGGGCAGUAGGAAAGUAAGGCAGUAGGACAGUAAGGCAGGCUGUAGAGCAAUAGGAAAGUAAGGCUGUAGGGCAGUAGGACAGUAAGGCAGUAGAACAGGCUGUAGGACAGUAAGGUAGUAGGAUAGGCUGUAGGACAGUAAGGUAGUAGGACAGUAAGGUAGUAGGACAGGCUGUCUGGCAGUAAGGCUGUGUGACAAUAGGGCGGUAAGGGAGUAGGAGAGUAGUAAAGCAGUAGGACGUUAUUAAGGCAGUAGGACAAUAGGGUGGUAAGGGAGUAGGAGAGUAGUAAAGCAGUAGGACAUUAUUAAGGCAGUAGGACAAUAGGGUGGUAAGGGAGUAGGAGAGUAGUAAAGCAGUAGGACAUUAUUAAGGCAGUAGGACAAUAGGGUGGUAAGGGAGUAGGAGAGUAGUAAAGCAGUAGGACAUUAUUAAGGCAGUAGGACAAUAGGGUGGUAAGAGAGUAGGAGAGUAGUAAAGCAGUAGGACAUUAUUAAGGCAGUAGGACAAUAGGGUGGUAAGGGAGUAGGAGAGUAGUAAAGCAGUAGGACAUUAUUAAGGCAGUAGGACAAUAGGGCAGUAGUAAAGCAGUAAGGCAGUAGUAAAGAUGUAGGGUUGUAUGGCAGUACGACAGUGCGACAGUAAGUCAGUCGGCUGUUCAUUUGUGUGUUUAACCUUGUUCACAGAAAUACCCCACCUCGUUGUGGACACAAAUAGUUUCUGUCAGAUUAUCUCUAUGAUAAAAAGUAUUUGAUAGAGACGGCCAGAUAGGCUUUCAACAGCCCCCCUGAUCUGGUCUGUAACUGGAAUGCUGAUGUCUUUUAUUUUCUCAUUAGAAAUGUUGUGAGAGAUGCUGACGGAGACACACAAAGACAGGCCACUGUUCAACUACACUCUUGUUAAUAAAGAACCCACUUUGGGGACUUUUUUUUGUGUUUUGUAAAUGUUGUUUCCCCCUUUUAGGAGGCAUUGUUUUCUUCACAUUUUAUCUGUACCAACACAUGAUCACGAGGAAUCCUUAGAUCCACUCUGGUGUCACACUGUCAGACACAAUAGUAAUGUCACUGUUUCAUAGAAGGAUUUUUGGAGGGCAGGACAGGUUUCAGGAGGUGGAUAAGAAGCUCAGAAGUUGUCAGGAGAACAUGUGUGCCAAUGGCCACAUAGAUAUACAGUACUAUAGAUAUCUCCUUUCCUUGGUUCAUUUUGAAUCAUACUUUUUUUAGUAAUGUCUGUAGAAGUUUAAAGAUGCCUAUGGUACUGAGGAGUAACAUGCCUAAGGGAAUAGAGCAGGUAUAGUUCAGAAGUUAUAGUUAACAUUCAAGGUUUUUUGGAGCGGUUGUUUCAUUUUGGAGCUACACUUUUUGUCUGGGUUUACUGAACCUGCCUGGGAUUCUAGAACCUAGAACUUUCUAGAAUCAACUUGAUUAGUGGGAGUUCUGUUCUGGAACUUCAGAGUCUAUACUGGGCACUUGACGUCACUCACUGUGUUGCUAAAUGUGGUAAAUCUUAAAUAUGGCUGCCUUGAGGAAUGUGGGACAUUACCAUUAACAAAGCAGCCUGCCCUUGAUUUGAGUCUAAAUGGUAAAUUGGAUUUGUGAAAACAGUUCAGUCUGGCCUGGUCUGUAUUUAGCAAAGCAUUUACACUGUAUGUUAAUCUAUGAGAACGUAGGAACUGCUUCUGUUAUGUAAAGUGCCAUAUUUACUGAAUGUAUUACAUUUGUAGAGCUGGAUACAAGGUUGACUCCAGCAGCAGCACCGCAGAUAUUAAUCUGAGUGAGAUGCAACGCUUUUCUCUCACACAGCCGCACGCUGUAUCUGCAUGUGCACGGGUUGGCUUCACGCUGGUACAGCAUGGUAGGUACGGGAUCAAAACAGAGGGGGAAGUGGAACCUCGCGGCUUCAACACUUUUAGGUGAUGAGGAAAUUGACCCACAAUGCCGUUUACUUUCUGAGCUCUACUACUUUACGUUUCCAUGCCCAUAUUUUAUCAUUUAAACUCCGGUGCUUCUGAAUGCUUUGUGUAUGUUUGCAGAACACAGUCAAUAUUAUGGGUUGAGUGAAGGUCACUUAAAUGAAUGUAUAUAUGAUGAGUCAUGAACGUGUAUCUUCAUGGUGUUUUUUUACAGAGUGUCAGUUGAAUAAUUGUGCACUUCACUUGUUCUGGGUUAGCUAUCGUAAUAAAACGGCCACGCUUCACUCUAGUGGGAUGAUGAUGAUGAUGAUGAUGCUUUGUCUGCUGCCAAAUAAAACAUAACAAAUGACA